Molecule: ribosomal RNA, 392 nt
Filed under: uncultured bacterium
Lineage: Bacteria
Description: partial 16S ribosomal RNA
Rfam family: Bacterial small subunit ribosomal RNA
Source: RNAcentral
AUACGUAGGGGGCAAGCGUUAUCCGGAAUUACUGGGCGUAAAGGGUGCGUAGGCGGUUUAUCAAGUCAGGGGUGAAAGGCUACGGCUCAACCGUAGUGAGCCUCUGAAACUGGUGAACUUGAGUGUAGGAGAGGAAGGUGGAAUUCCCAGUGUAGCGGUGAAAUGCGUAGAUAUUGGGAGGAACACCAGUGGCGAAGGCGACUUUCUGGACUACAACUGACGCUGAGGCACGAAAGCGUGGGGAGCAAACAGGAUUAGAUACCCUGGUAGUCCACGCUGUAAACGAUGAGUACUAGGUGUCGGCUGUCAAAGGUCGGUGCCGGCGUUAACACAUUAAGUACUCCGCCUGGGGAGUACGCUCGCAAGAGUGAAACUCAAAUGAAUUGACGGGG